UACGUAGGGUGCAAGCGUUAAUCGGAAUUACUGGGCGUAAAGCGUGCGCAGGUGGCUUUGCAAGACAGAUGUGAAAUCCCCGGGCUUAACCUGGGAACUGCAUUUGUGACUGCAUGGCUAGAGUGUGGCAGAGGGGGAUGGAAUUCCGCGUGUAGCAGUGAAAUGCGUAGAUAUGCGGAGGAACACCGAUGGCGAAGGCAGUCCCCUGGGCCUGCACUGACACUCAUGCACGAAAGCGUGGGGAGCAAACAGG
This 253-nucleotide ribosomal RNA is filed under the name uncultured prokaryote. RNAcentral's name for it is "partial 16S ribosomal RNA". It matches the Rfam family "Bacterial small subunit ribosomal RNA", at positions 524 to 776 of the family's 1533-position model. The record is from RNAcentral.